Molecule: ribosomal RNA, 805 nt
Filed under: uncultured bacterium
Lineage: Bacteria
Description: bacterial SSU rRNA
Rfam family: Bacterial small subunit ribosomal RNA
Source: RNAcentral
UUAGAGUUUGAUCCUGGCUCAGGAUGAACGCUAGCGAUAGGCCUAACACAUGCAAGUCGAGGGGCAUCACAUGAGGUAGCAAUACCGAUGGUGGCGACCGGCGCACGGGUGAGUAACACGUAUGCAACCUGCCUUCAACAAGGGGAUAACUCGUUGAAAGACGGACUAAUACCCUAUAACACAGGGCUCCCGCAUGGGAAUAUUUGUUAAAGAUUUAUCGGUUGAAGAUGGGCAUGCGUUCCAUUAGUUAGUUGGGGGGGUAACGGCCCACCAAGGCAACGAUGGAUAGGGGAACUGAGAGGUUUAUCCCCCACACUGGUACUGAGACACGGACCAGACUCCUACGGGAGGCAGCAGUGAGGAAUAUUGGUCAAUGGACGCAAGUCUGAACCAGCCACGUCGCGUGAAGGAAGACGGCCCUACGGGUUGUAAACUUCUUUUGUAAGGGAAUAAAGUGAGUCACGUGUGGCUUUUUGCAUGUACCUUACGAAUAAGGAUCGGCUAACUCCGUGCCAGCAGCCGCGGUAAUACGGAGGAUCCGAGCGUUAUCCGGAUUUAUUGGGUUUAAAGGGUGCUCAGGCGGGCCAUUAAGUCGGCGGUGAAAUUUUGCGGCUCAACCGUAAAAGUGCCUUCGAUACUGGUGGUCUUGAGUGUGGAUGAGGUAGGCGGAAUUUGUGGUGUAGCGGUGAAAUGCAUAGAUAUCACGAGGAACUCCGAUUGCUAAGGCAGCUUACUAAGCCAUAACUGACGCUCAAGCACGAAGGCGUGGGGAUCAAACAGGAUUAGAUACCCUGGUAGUCCACGC